AUAUGCAUUUGAACCUGGGCAUCUAGGGUGCAGGAGAGGAAAGUGGAAUCCCUAGUGUAGCGGUGAAAUGCGUAGAGAUUAGGAAGACCACCAGUGGCGAAGGCGACUUUCUGGACUGUAACUGACCCUGAGAUACGAAAGCGUGGGUAGCAAACAGGAUUAGAUCCCCUGGUAGUCCACGCCGUAAACGAUGAAUACUAGGUGUCGGGGGGUACCACCCUCGGUGCCGCAGCAAACGCAUUAAGUAUUCCGCCUGGGGAGUACGGUCGCAAGAUUAAAACUCAAAGGAAUUGACGGGGACCCGCACAAGCAGCGGAGCAUGUGGUUUAAUUCGAAGCAACGCGAAGAACCUUACCUAGACUUGACAUCUCCUGAAUUACUCUUAAUCGAGGAAGUCCCUUCGGGGACAGGAAGACAGGUGGUGCAUGGUUGUCGUCAGCUCGUGUCGUGAGAUGUUGGGUUAAGUCCCGCAACGAGCGCAACCCUUAUUGUUAGUUGCUACUAUUAAGUUAAGCACUCUAACGAGACUGCCGCGGUUAACGUGGAGGAAGGUGGGGAUGACGUCAAAUCAUCAUGCCCCUUAUGUCUAGGGCUACACACGUGCUACAAUGGCUGGUACAACGAGCAGCAAACCCG
RNAcentral lists this ribosomal RNA (636 nucleotides) under Clostridium botulinum C/D str. BKT2873. RNAcentral describes it as "bacterial SSU rRNA". It matches the Rfam family "Bacterial small subunit ribosomal RNA", at positions 619 to 1257 of the family's 1533-position model. Lineage: Bacteria; Bacillati; Bacillota; Clostridia; Eubacteriales; Clostridiaceae. The record is from RNAcentral.